This 566-nucleotide ribosomal RNA is filed under the name uncultured bacterium. RNAcentral describes it as "bacterial SSU rRNA". It matches the Rfam family "Bacterial small subunit ribosomal RNA", at positions 361 to 917 of the family's 1533-position model. The record is from RNAcentral.
AUUUUGCGCAUGGGGGAAACCCUGNCGCAGCAACGCCGCGUGAGUGAUGAAGGCCUUCGGGUCGUAAAGCUCUGACAGAGGGAAAGAAGUGUGGGGUGGCUAAUAUCCAUUUCACUUGACGGUACCCUCAAAGGAAGCACCGGCUAACUCCGUGCCAGCAGCCGCGGUAAUACGGAGGGUGCGAGCGUUGUUCGGAAUUAUUGGGCGUAAAGCGCGUGUAGGCGGUCUUUUAAGUCUGAUGUGAAAGCCCCGGGCUCAACCUGGGAAGUGCAUUGGAAACUGGGAGACUUGAAUACGGGAGAGGGUAGUGGAAUUCCUGGUGUAGGAGUGAAAUCCGUAGAUAUCAGGAGGAACACCGGUGGCGAAGGCGGCUGCCUGGACCGAUAUUGACGCUGAGACGCGAAAGCGUGGGGAGCAAACAGGAUUAGAUACCCUGGUAGUCCACGCCGUAAACGAUGAGUACUAGGUGUCGCGGGUAUUGACCCCUGCGGUGCCGCAGCUAACGCAUUAAGUACUCCGCCUGGGAAGUACGGCCNGCAAGGCUAAAACUCACAGAAAUUGACGGA